UGCUUUAUAUCAGGGGCGGAGCCAGGGUUUAUAUCCAGUGCGGGCACAAUUUUAUUAUAUAUCGACUGCAGUGAUUUUUUUAGUCCGCUUUUUAGUCCCUACUUCUCUGGCUGUUGCUACUAUUUCUCACUCUAGUUCCCAAUUAUGCUAAUGGCAAUGCCAAUCAAAGCAGCCGGAAGAGUCAUCAGUUAUUAAAAAUUCAUAAUACAGGGGCACAAUUUCAGCAAGAAUCAUCCACAAGUAUUAAUAUACCAAGCCUUCAAAAAUUUACAGAAAAUCAUCCAAAAAUUUUCACAGAAUCAAUGUCCAGUGACUUAAAUCUCCAUAUUUUAUAAUGACUAUAAAAAAUCAUAAAUUAUAAACUUCAGCAAGCUCACAAUCAUAAAGCAU
Molecule: long non-coding RNA, 390 nt
Filed under: Olea europaea subsp. europaea
Lineage: Eukaryota; Viridiplantae; Streptophyta; Magnoliopsida; Lamiales; Oleaceae
Source: RNAcentral